RNAcentral lists this long non-coding RNA (19509 nucleotides) under Medicago truncatula (barrel medic). RNAcentral's name for it is "long non-coding RNA (MTRU_LNC004590)". The record is from RNAcentral. Lineage: Eukaryota; Viridiplantae; Streptophyta; Magnoliopsida; Fabales; Fabaceae.
UCCUCAGCAGCCUUGAUAAUUUGUUGAAUUGUUUUGGUUCUAUCACCAUUUUGUGCUUCACUAAGAUCAAUUAUUGGGAUGGUUUUGUUGAUUGGGAUUUUGAAAUUCCCUGGUCUUGUUUCUUGUGGGAAUACAUAGUCCUCAGGCACAGAUUUGAUGCUUGACCGGUUUGAAACAAAUUUCUCCAUAUCUCCUUGAAGUAGCUUGAUUAUGCUUUAUUAGUAUACAAUACACAGUGAUAUAUAUAGUAAUGGCAAAAACUGAAUGUGAUGUAUCAUUAACAUCAUCAUUAUUAUUAGUUGUUACUUGUAAAAGGUUUUCAUCUUUGGAUUGGCCAGAUUGCUGGUCCCAUGGAAUUGUGGUGGUUCUAGUGUGUGUAUGGUUUGAGGUGCUGUGGCUUUGUAUCUACAUCUACAUCAAUGUACUCAUAAAUGUCACUAACUAAUCAAAGCUGGACUCAUAAAUGUCACUAACUAAUCAAAGCUGGACUCAUAAAUGUCACUGACUAAUCAAAGCUGGACUAUAUUUUUUUUUAAUAAAUAGGCAAUUAGGCCCAUGAAAUUGUAAGUUUCAUCAAUUAUCCUCCUGAAAUUAUAAGUUUCAUCAAUUACCUCCCUGAAAUUAACAAAAUUUCAAUUACCCCUCUGAAAUUUCACAACGUUAAUCAAUUUACCCCUCCGUCAAAUUUUUCUGUUAGUGAACAUGACGUUUUGCAAAUAUCCCCCUGAAGUUUUGCACUUAUGUGCAAAAUGCCCCCCAAACUUAAAAAUUUAUAUUAUUUUUUUCUUAAAGACAAACAAUUAACGAUUCAAUAUUAAAGCUAACUAUUAAUUUUGGAGUUUGGAAAAACUACAAGCAUAUAUACAUCAAAAUAGGGAAAAAUGUGUAUUUUUAAAGUGACAAUAAUGGUUAUUUCUAAUAGACAAAUUAUUAUUUUUAGGGGUUUAAAGACAAAUUAAUAAUCAGUUUUAAAUUUAUAUUUUCUCCUUCACCAUCUUAGUCUUUUAACUCCUCCAACUCCUUCAACAAUUUGCUCAAACCAUUUAAACUACAUAACCCCCAAUAUUUUUAUAUGAUUUGUUCUUGUUUAGACACUUUAUAGAAAACUUCAUUCUAACUUCUUGUUUGUGCUUCAGGUAGGGACAAUCAUUCAUCGUAUACAAUCUAGCUCACACCACAAUACUAUCAGACCGACAUAUCAUAUAUAGCAUAUUAAGUAAUAUUCAUGUAAAAAAGACACAAAUCAUCAACAAAUGAAAUAUGCGAUCGGUAUGUAUAGAGGAACACUUAUUGAGAAAUGUCAAACACUUAGACAUAUAUUUAUUUACCUUUGAAAUUAAUUCACAAAUCAUCCCAUUAUUGUCACUUUAAAAAAAAUACACAUUUUUCCCCAUUUUGAAGCCUAUUUUGAUGUAUAUAUGCAUGCAGUUCUUCCAAAUUCUAAAAUUAAUAGUUAGUUUUAAUAUUUAACUAUUAAUUGUUUGUCUUUAAGAAAAAAAUAUUAUAAAUUUUUAAGUUUGGGGGCCUUUUGCACAUAAGUGCAAAACUUCAGGCGGGUAUUUGCAAAACGUCAUGUUCUCUAACAGAAAAAUUUGACGGAGGAGGUAAAUUGAUUAACGUUGUGAAAUUUCAGGGGAGUAAUUGAAGUUUUAUUAAUUUCAUGGGAGUAAUUGACGAAACUUACAAUUUCAGGAGGUAAUUACCUAUUUACUCAUAUUUUUUUUCUUAACGUGAAUGUAUAUUAAUGUUUUUUUAAAUAGACAAAAUGAAAAUAAUUAUUGGAUACUCAUCCACAUAAACGGAGGAGUUAAAACUCAAAUUUCUGUUUACAACGUUCAAGUUUAGCAAUUUUGAAAGUUUCAUCACUUAAACUAGAACUUGUAGACAACAUAAAUAUAUUUAAUAUUUGCUAUAUUGUACAUUAUAAAUUCAAUUGUCAAAGAAUUCUGAUUGAUAUGUUUUGUUACUUUUCAAAUUUUGUUUUAUUGUUUUAGCUUUUUUGUUUUGGGAGUUUGAUUUUAUUGGCUAAGUGUUUGUUUCUAUUAUAUUAUUAUUCUGUUCUUUUUAUUGUCUUAGUUUUAUACUAUCUUUUUUUAUUUUAUUACAAGUUAUACUCCUAUAGUUAUUGCUCUUAUUUUGGUUGGAUGAAGGGGGUAUAACAAAGUUAACCAUUAGAGAGAAUUAAGAAAUCGUGAAGUCUUCAAGUUACUUGAAUUAUUGGCAAUUGAAGUUUUCAUGAAACGAUUUGAGUCAAAAGAAAGAUCAAUAGGCAUUCAGCCAUUUUAGAAUCAAACUUUAUACAACACAUGACACACCUUUGCUAUAAUUUGCAUCACGUAUGGUAACCCCAUGUGAAACAACCAAAAUUCUUCCAAAACAUAUAUGGACAUAUACUUUUAUUGCCAUAUUUUCUUUUCUUCAUAGGGGAUUGUGGUUUUCUUGGUUUACUUGGUGUUGUAUUGGUGACUUUGAUUUCAAAAACGAAGGGGAAGGGUGCACUAUAAAAAAAAAAAAAAAUAGAUAUUUCUUCUGUCUUUAAAUUAUAGUCGUUUAAGAUUUAUGCACGAUUAUUAAGGAAAUGAUUAAUUGUGUUGAUUUUAAGGGUAAAAUUUAUAUUAUUUACUAAAAUAUCAUUAUUAAUUAUAGUUAGUGAAAUAGUUAAGUUAGAUGAAAUUCAAUAAAUAAAGGUAUAAUAAUGAAAGAAAAAAAAUACAUGAUGCAUUGGUAUUCUAAAGUGAUAAUUAUUUUAAGAAAAAGAAAAAUGAUAAAGAGACAAUUAUCGUGGAUAUGCAUUGGAAAGGGAAGAAGGUGGGUGGGGGGAUGAUAAAGGUUGUCAAAGUAACCCAUAGACAGGGUUCUUAGGUAAAUAAAAGCAAUUAAUAUAUCCAUGAAAUUUAAAAUUUAAUGAGCCACAAUUUCAUUUCUUUUUUCUUUAGGGGAGUCACAAUUUCAUCUUAUAAAACUUACAAUAAGUAAUUCCACAAAAAAAAAAAAACUUACAAUAAGUAAGUCUAUUUUAUAAUGUAACAAAAAAAAGUCUAUUUAUAACAUCAUGUUUUACAAUGCAUUUUUUUUUUUUUUUAAGGAAUCAUGCUUUAUAAUUUUUAUUUUUUUUGAAGAAGUUAAAUUAGCUUAUCCAAAUUGAUACCGGAGAGAACCAUCAGACCAAUUCAAGUGGGUUCAUGUUUUACAAUGUUGUUUCCUUUUUGCAUCAGACAUGCUAAUUGUAAAACAUAAAUAUUUGAAUCAAUCAUUAAGUGUAUUUUAACCACUUGAUUAAGUGGUUAAACUCAUAUCCUCAUGUAAAUCAACGAGAGUGUAACCUUUAUAGCCUGACUUGUAUCCCAAGAAAAAAGUUUUUCUAGCUCUAGAUUGAAGUUUAGUUCUAUGGACAGAAAGAGAAGUAGCAUAACACAGACAACCAAAAACUUUGAAAGUUGAAAUGUCAGGUAAUUUGUAGUAAAGAACUUGAUAAGGACACUUAUGAUUAAGGGUAUGAGUGGUGAUACGGUUAAUGAGGAAAAUUGCAUGAGAAACUGCAUAAGAUCAAAAAGAGGAGGGUAGUUUGGAUUGGAAUAAAAAAGUGCUCUACCAACAUUUAAAAUGUGUUGGUUUUUUUUUUCUACCCUACCUUUUUGUUGAGGAGUAGCAACACAAGAUUUUUGAUGGAUAAUGCCAAGGGAAUCAUAAAAGGUUGGAAGGAUAAACUCAUGGCCAUUGUCUGAUCUGACAUCUUUAGGAGUGAUAUAAAACUGGUUUUGAAUCAUGGCAAUGAAACAUUGGACAUGGUGAGAAACUUCAGCUUUGGGUUCAAGGAGAAUAAUCCAAAGAAACCUAUUAUGAUCAUCAACAAUGGUAAGGAAGUAUUUGUGACCAUGAACAGAAGGUACAGAUAAGGGACCCCAAAUAUCAAAGUGUAGCAAUUCAAAAUUAGAAGAUGCAUUAGAAUUACUAGAUUCAAAAGGAAGAUGCUUUUGUUUAGCAAAAUGAUAGACAUCGCAAAUUGAAUUAUUAUCAGAAACAAUAUUGGAGUACAAAGUUGACAUCUUAUUCACUCUUUGAUGAGAUAAGUGUCCCAAUCUGAAGUGCAAUAAGGCUUUAUUGGGAAUAACAACAAUACUUGAAUUACAAGAAAUUGAAGAAAUUGCAUUACAAAUUUAUUGAUAUGACUAGAAAGAUCACUAGCAGAAACUAAAGAUAGAGAAUGGAGUAUGUAUAAACCAUCCACUUGUUUAGCCAAAUCAAUCUGCUUCAUUGAGAAUUGGUCAUGUAUAAUGCAUUGAGUAUGUGAGAAUUGCACAAAACAAGAUAAAGAAUGACACAAUUUGGCUACAUAGAUAUGAUUCAACUUAAAGGAAGGAGAAUAAAGAGCAUUGGUGAGAUAAAGCUGAGAACUAAAAGAAACAAUGUCAUCAUGAUUAACAAGGAUAGAGGUACCAUUAGGUAAAUUGACAUGAACAUGCUUAAUCUGAUAAAAUGAAGUAAAAGAAGCUAAGUUGCCAUAUAUGUGCUCAUUACCCCCAGAAUGUAAUAACCAAUGUGAGGUAGAAGGAAAAAAACAAGAAUGAGUAUUCAGAUUACCUACAGAAGAAGAAGCAGCAGUGUAAUUGGAGGAAACUUGAGGAGAAACACUAAUAUGGUUGGUAGUAGGGUCAGAUGUAGAAGCAGGAACUGAGGUAAACAAAUUUGUCUGCUGCAACAAGAAGAUAAGCUGAUCCAUCUUUUCUUGAGACAAACCAGUACUACCAGAAGAGUUGCUUGCAUCUGAAGCUUCAUUCGAAGUAGCAUUGGCCUGUGAAAUCUUCUUGUUCACAUUAGGAUAGCCAUGCUUUUGAUAGAAAAAGUCAAUUGUGUGAUUGUGUCUAUUUCAAAAAAUGCAAAACCUUGAUGAAGGUUUAGUGAAUGAACAUUUACCACGCCCUUAAGGUUUCUUUGCAUCAUAUGCAUUAACAAGCACAUUAUCUUCAGCAAGAGAAGGGAGUGAAAGAAGAGAAGUAUUAUUACUUUCUUCUUGUAAAACCAAAGAGAAAUUCUUAUUCAAGGUAGGCAAUGGAUCCAUCAAUAAGACUAGAGUCUUCACAGCAAAAAAUUGCUUAUUGAUGCUAGUUAAAAACUGAAUGAUUUGGUCCUCAUUUCUAUAUGUGUCAGUAACCUUAAGAGCAUCACAUCAACAUUGAUGAUGACAGUACAAUUUGGGAGAGGAGGAUGAGAAUGUAAUUCUUCCCACAAAGCUUUCAUUUCAGUGAAAUAAUCCAACACAAAUUUGGUAUUUUGCCUAAGAUUGUUAAUUUAAUUCCAGAACGCAAAUUGGCAAUUCUAAUACGAUCAAUCUUAGAAAAACGUUCCUUCAAAUCCUCCCAAAAAUCAAAAGCAUUAUCAUGAAACAAUAUAGUUUGAGAAAUUGAAUCAGAAACAGAAUUAAUAAUCCAAGACUAUACCAAAUGAUUGCAUCUUUCCGAAGCAUUACGAUUGAGGUCAUCAUGAUCAGGUACAGGUAGAGUUCCAUUGAUAAAGGGAAGCUUGUUCUUAACACCCAAAGCACGCUGCAUUGAUCUACUCCAUGCAAGAUAAUUGGAUCCAUUGAACUUAGGAGACACAAUCACCGAAUUAGGUCCUUCACUAUGAUGAACAAAGAAAGCAGAAUCAGUAUCAUUGUUGCUGUUGUUGAUUCGAAGCACGAACCAUCAUUCCAAAUCAGAGGAAGAAGAUGAAGAUCUUCGUAAGAAAUAAAUGCAGAGAAGCAAUACGCAAAGCUUGCGAAGGAAGAAAGAGAAGAAUCUCAAUACAAAAUUGAGAACAAAACAAGAAGAAUCAUGAAGAGAAAGAGAAAGAAAACUGAUACCAUAUUAUAAAUGAUAGAAAUAAUAUGUAAUUGCUUGAUGAAUCAGAGAGUACAACAACUAUUUAUAGGUAGUUGAUGCUGUACAAUACAUAUGAUGGACUAGCAUCAGCAUAUUAAAGCUACUACUAAGGUAAGCUAAGUUGCUUGUGGUCUAAGCUAUCUAAACCACUCUUAUUAUGUAAUAUAAAUAAAUCCUGAAUUAUUAAAAAAAUAAAAAAUAAGGAGUCCAACAACAACUCUUACAACAUCAAUUUAUUAAAAAAAAAAAUUACAUAAUCGAAUGAUACUUUUUGCCUUUCACAAUAUUUCAUUUAAUCCUUUGGUUCCUCUUCCUCAUAGGAUUUCAGCACCAUAUCCAUAUCACCAUGUUUCUUAAAGAAGCGAGUGAGCAACUCCUUAUAUUCGUAAGACUUAUAAAUAGGUGGAUUGUGUUCAUCAAUGAGAUCUUUUGUUGGUUCAAUGAAACAAUCACCUGAUGGAGCUAUAAAAAAGGCAGCAGUUGUGCGAGCUUGUUCUGAAUUUGUCACAACUCUAUGUUCCACACUUUUUAGCUUACCAUUAGUCAUUAUCUGUAUCCAAUAUUGUAACCCAUCACAAGUCAACAAAAUUUACCAAAUUACAUAAAUUAAUAAGAGACAUGAUUGAAAUGAAAAAAAUACAAAAAAUUUCCUUCAUGUGAGAUAGUGAUAAAUUAGUCCCUAGGGUUAUUAAUUUUUAAAGAAUUAAUGCAUUAAGUGUACCUGCAAGGCGUAGCCUAUGUUGAUAACAAAUGCAUGAGGAAUAGCAUCAACAGCAAUCCACUCUCCAUCCUUAAGUACUUGAAGGCCACAUAUAUCUUCUUGUUGUAAAACGGUUAUGAGGUAAGCAUCAAAGUGUUUGGUUAUACCAAGUGUUAAACUUGGAUCAGGGCAUGGUGGAUAAUGAUUAAGUUGGAUAACUAAUGAGUCACUAAGAUUAUCAUUGUCGAAAUAUCCACACUCCAAACCAAGCCCUUCACUAAUCAAAUUCAUGAUCCUUGAACCCAACUCCUUAAUUUUAGUUGAAUAAUCCCCAACACACUUUCUGCAAGAAAAAAAUGUCUAUUAGAUCUUUAACUGCAUGUGCAAAUUAGGGGUGACAAUGUGAAUAAAUUGAAUACAAUUUAACUUGGAUUGUGUAUUGGAUGGAUUGAACAACCCAUUAAUCUAUUUAUAAUCAACUACCCACUUAGGUUAGUCUGGUGGUAUUGACUUAGGACAUGAGAUUGUGCUCCUCCUCAAGAUCUCCCAAAGUCUUAUGACCAACGGCUCAUAAGGGUUUGCACUUGCCCGCAGCUCCUGACGCCCGCUUGGCGGGCGGAGCGCUCGUUAUCCUUACAGUUCUCUAUGCCGGGGCCCCCUCCCAUUGCUCUAGCCAUAAGUUGUGGCAACUCCAGCUCGAAACCAAAGGGGCCCGCCCUGCAAGGCUAGAGUGAGCUCAGUGGUCAUGUUUAAUUCUCCCCGAUACUAAUUUGAAUGAGUUAAUUUAGCUUUUUCAAAAAAAAAAAAAUUAUAAUCCAUGGAAAACUUCCUAAAACAACUAAAUCAAACCAUCAUCCGGACCAAACAAUCACCUAAUCCAUUUAUUUAUAUUUUGUCCAAUCUAUGCAUAAAAUACUUUAAAAGGAAAAACCUAUUACAAUAUUUUUUUUUUAGUACCACCAGAGCAUCUCCAUUGUGGCUGCAAGUGGUUCUCGGACAUCAAUUUUUGUGGAAAACUGGCGACUUUGUGUUAUUCCUAAAUCAUGACCGUCUUAUUUACCUAAUACGUUGUGAUGCAUUUGAUUUACCAAAAAAACAAAAACUAUGAAUGUUUUAGUUCCUAUUUAUAAGUCUUGUGUGUUUUAAACAGUUAUUAUGUAAUUAAUGUUUGUAUACGAUUGGUUCUUGAAUCGGAUGCCGAGUUUUCGAAAAAAUGUUUAUAUAUGAUUAUUAGAGAGAGAGAGGGAGAGAGGGAGGGAGGGAGAGAGAGAUCAAAUUUAAUUCAUGUUUUGUUAAAAAAAUUAUAUUUUUUUUUUAGAAAAAAUUUCAUUUAAAAAUAUGAAUGUUACACGAGAGUUGACUUCAAGGCAGUGAUCAAAUGUGAUGAUGCAAAUAUUUUAGGAGAAUAAACUCGAAGAAUUUUUUUGGAUAUAUUAAAACACAAAGUUGAUAUAUUUAUAGAGAUAAAAACAUAUUUAACCAUAGUGUUAAUAUUUGGAAAUGAAUAAUAAAUGUAUUUAAAAAUUUGUUGAGGGUUUUUAAUUAUGGACGAGCAAACAUUUUAAAAUUGUCUUAUAAUUAAAGGUCAAAGAGAAUAUGACAAUUCACGAAUUAAUAACCAUUCUAAUGUGAGCAAGCUUAUACUUAUCUUAAUUUGGGCAUAUACUAAUGAAUUUACUCAUCUAACUAAUCAGGGGCGAAUCCACCAUAGAGCUAUGUGUGGCUCUAGCCACACAUGAUUAUACCCUCUUUUUUUUUUUUUUUUUAUUUUUCUUUCAUAUACUAGAUCUCAAACAAUUGAUUAUAACAGUUAUUCUUUCUUUCACAAAAAAAAAAAAAAAAGUUAUAUUAUAUAUAUAUAUAUAUAUAUAUAUUUCUAAAAAAAAAAACAGUUAUAUACUAUAUAUAUGUCUAAAACAUGUGAAGAUUCUUUAUAUGGUCUAUCAGUAUGUAUGGUUGCGUAUAUCAAUACGCAUACAAGACUCUUUUUAGAAAAAAAAUUGUCACUUUUUAUAAGACUGUGUUGAUAUAUAUUUUUAAAUAUAUUAAUUAAUUAUUUACCAACAAACUCCUAUUUAUUUUAUAUUUUUUUCUUCAAUCAGUAUUAAAUACCAUGUUGAAAACAUACACUAACUCUUUCUCUUAAAGAAUAAAAUUGUAAAAACAAUAGCAAUUACAAACAAACUUAUUACCACUUUCAAUUUUCUUAACUCCCGUUAUUUUUUUAAAAGGACCCUAUAAUUAAGGAUAGAGGGAGUAUGAUUUAAUUCAUAGUUUCUUUUAUAAUUCAGUCACACCUAAACAUUAUAUCUAGAUCCAUGCAUGUAACUAAUGUACUUUGUUCAAUCAUUGUUAUAAACAAAACUUUAUUUUGUAUAUUCAUUGAAUAAUAGGUAGUAUUAAUUAGAGAGAUUGCAAGUAGUGAAAUUGUUAUGUCGACUAUUUAAUUAAGUUAAAGACUAGUUAAUAGCUCAAGUAAUAAUCAAUUUGAGAUAGAGAACUAUUACAAAUGAGACCGACCAAGUUUUCAUGCAUUUACCUGUAUGUAGUUGGAUAUUCAGGCCACAAGUGUUGCCACUGUUCCAAAGGAUAAGCUGGGUGUCUAAGAGUGUCCCUCCAAAGAUGAACCUUAUCAAAUUCAUAUUUGAAAGUGCUAGAAAACAUCUUACAUGUCUUCAAAUUGUUCUCAGGAUACAAGUCGUGUUUGUAUUCAUUAGGCUUCUCAAACACCUCCUUAAAAACACUCAUUGCUUCCUUCAUUUCAUCCAACGAGAGACCAUGAUUGAUAACCUAUUUUAAUCAAAAAAAAUGUCGGGAUUUUAUAUUAGACACAUUGUCGGAGCCACGUUGUGGCCAGGGGGUUCAAUUGCACCUUCUCAACUUUUCAUAUUUACACCUAUUUUACUAUAUUUUCAUUGUCUUGAACCCCCUCAAAAUUAAGCCUUGCACCAUAUUGAAUUGACUCUCUCCUCUCUCACUAGGAAAAAGUUGGUAAAGUUGUGUCUGUGCAUACAGUGUGACAAUAAUACAAUGCAGAUUGCCCAAAGUUUAAGUCAAAGUAAAAAAUAUCAUUUUUUUUAACAGCAAAUUUUAUUUAAAAAUCAGAUCCUUGCUCAAGACGAACAGAGACAGGUGAUAUUAUAAAUAUCAUUUUAUAUUAUAAAUUGAUGAUAGAUUGGAAUCAAAACAAAAUAUCUUGAAUGGAAAUUAAAUCUGGAUAUUUAGCAUAGAAAAUGUAUAGAAUAUUUAGCAUUGUGUUUUCAAAUUUUAACUGAUAAAUAUUCUAUGAUGGAAAAAAAUGUAAGAUGUGGAAAUUUUUCUUAAAUAAAUAUAAAUAUAUUUUAAUAUUUAUAAUUUUACGACAUUCAUCUUUAAAUAUAUAAUUUUUCUAUUGUCUCUAAAUAGGCAAACAACUAUGUUGAUCAUCCAUGAAUGUGUGAGACACUCUUAUACUCUUUAAAUGUAUCGAAAAUACAUUUAUAGUGCAUCUUUUUUUGUGUGGUAAUUUUAUAGAUUAAAUUGAACAAUGACAAAACAUAUUCUAAGAUAUAAUUGACUAUCAAAAAACUAAUUUAAUAAAAGAGACGUUUAGAGAUCAAUAUGAUGGCGAAAUACACAUUCAAGGUAAAAAUUUGGUAGGUCGAAAUUUUGAACCCCUUAACUUAGGGUCCUGGCAACACAACUAAAGUUUGCUUAGUAUAUUUUAGAGGAAAAAUAUAUUUAAUCUUAAAAUAGAAAGAGUAUUUAGUAUGAAUACCUGAAAGAAUCCAAACUCCUCAGAAGCCUUGAUAAUUUGUUGUAUUGUUUUGGUUCUAUCCCCAUUUUGUGCUUCACUAAGAUCAAUUGUUGGGAUGGUUUUGUUAAUUGGGAUUUUGAAAUUCCCUGGUCUUGUUUCUUGUGGGAAUACAUAGUCCUCAGGCACAGAUUUGAUGCUUGACCGGUUUGAAAUAAAUUUCUCCNUUUUUUUUUUUUUAAGGAAUCAUGCUUUAUAAUUUUUAUUUUUUUUGAAGAAGUUAAAUUAGCUUAUCCAAAUUGAUACCGGAGAGAACCAUCAGACCAAUUCAAGUGGGUUCAUGUUUUACAAUGUUGUUUCCUUUUUGCAUCAGACAUGCUAAUUGUAAAACAUAAAUAUUUGAAUCAAUCAUUAAGUGUAUUUUAACCACUUGAUUAAGUGGUUAAACUCAUAUCCUCAUGUAAAUCAACGAGAGUGUAACCUUUAUAGCCUGACUUGUAUCCCAAGAAAAAAGUUUUUCUAGCUCUAGAUUGAAGUUUAGUUCUAUGGACAGAAAGAGAAGUAGCAUAACACAGACAACCAAAAACUUUGAAAGUUGAAAUGUCAGGUAAUUUGUAGUAAAGAACUUGAUAAGGACACUUAUGAUUAAGGGUAUGAGUGGUGAUACGGUUAAUGAGGAAAAUUGCAUGAGAAACUGCAUAAGAUCAAAAAGAGGAGGGUAGUUUGGAUUGGAAUAAAAAAGUGCUCUACCAACAUUUAAAAUGUGUUGGUUUUUUUUUUCUACCCUACCUUUUUGUUGAGGAGUAGCAACACAAGAUUUUUGAUGGAUAAUGCCAAGGGAAUCAUAAAAGGUUGGAAGGAUAAACUCAUGGCCAUUGUCUGAUCUGACAUCUUUAGGAGUGAUAUAAAACUGGUUUUGAAUCAUGGCAAUGAAACAUUGGACAUGGUGAGAAACUUCAGCUUUGGGUUCAAGGAGAAUAAUCCAAAGAAACCUAUUAUGAUCAUCAACAAUGGUAAGGAAGUAUUUGUGACCAUGAACAGAAGGUACAGAUAAGGGACCCCAAAUAUCAAAGUGUAGCAAUUCAAAAUUAGAAGAUGCAUUAGAAUUACUAGAUUCAAAAGGAAGAUGCUUUUGUUUAGCAAAAUGAUAGACAUCGCAAAUUGAAUUAUUAUCAGAAACAAUAUUGGAGUACAAAGUUGACAUCUUAUUCACUCUUUGAUGAGAUAAGUGUCCCAAUCUGAAGUGCAAUAAGGCUUUAUUGGGAAUAACAACAAUACUUGAAUUACAAGAAAUUGAAGAAAUUGCAUUACAAAUUUAUUGAUAUGACUAGAAAGAUCACUAGCAGAAACUAAAGAUAGAGAAUGGAGUAUGUAUAAACCAUCCACUUGUUUAGCCAAAUCAAUCUGCUUCAUUGAGAAUUGGUCAUGUAUAAUGCAUUGAGUAUGUGAGAAUUGCACAAAACAAGAUAAAGAAUGACACAAUUUGGCUACAUAGAUAUGAUUCAACUUAAAGGAAGGAGAAUAAAGAGCAUUGGUGAGAUAAAGCUGAGAACUAAAAGAAACAAUGUCAUCAUGAUUAACAAGGAUAGAGGUACCAUUAGGUAAAUUGACAUGAACAUGCUUAAUCUGAUAAAAUGAAGUAAAAGAAGCUAAGUUGCCAUAUAUGUGCUCAUUACCCCCAGAAUGUAAUAACCAAUGUGAGGUAGAAGGAAAAAAACAAGAAUGAGUAUUCAGAUUACCUACAGAAGAAGAAGCAGCAGUGUAAUUGGAGGAAACUUGAGGAGAAACACUAAUAUGGUUGGUAGUAGGGUCAGAUGUAGAAGCAGGAACUGAGGUAAACAAAUUUGUCUGCUGCAACAAGAAGAUAAGCUGAUCCAUCUUUUCUUGAGACAAACCAGUACUACCAGAAGAGUUGCUUGCAUCUGAAGCUUCAUUCGAAGUAGCAUUGGCCUGUGAAAUCUUCUUGUUCACAUUAGGAUAGCCAUGCUUUUGAUAGAAAAAGUCAAUUGUGUGAUUGUGUCUAUUUCAAAAAAUGCAAAACCUUGAUGAAGGUUUAGUGAAUGAACAUUUACCACGCCCUUAAGGUUUCUUUGCAUCAUAUGCAUUAACAAGCACAUUAUCUUCAGCAAGAGAAGGGAGUGAAAGAAGAGAAGUAUUAUUACUUUCUUCUUGUAAAACCAAAGAGAAAUUCUUAUUCAAGGUAGGCAAUGGAUCCAUCAAUAAGACUAGAGUCUUCACAGCAAAAAAUUGCUUAUUGAUGCUAGUUAAAAACUGAAUGAUUUGGUCCUCAUUUCUAUAUGUGUCAGUAACCUUAAGAGCAUCACAUCAACAUUGAUGAUGACAGUACAAUUUGGGAGAGGAGGAUGAGAAUGUAAUUCUUCCCACAAAGCUUUCAUUUCAGUGAAAUAAUCCAACACAAAUUUGGUAUUUUGCCUAAGAUUGUUAAUUUAAUUCCAGAACGCAAAUUGGCAAUUCUAAUACGAUCAAUCUUAGAAAAACGUUCCUUCAAAUCCUCCCAAAAAUCAAAAGCAUUAUCAUGAAACAAUAUAGUUUGAGAAAUUGAAUCAGAAACAGAAUUAAUAAUCCAAGACUAUACCAAAUGAUUGCAUCUUUCCGAAGCAUUACGAUUGAGGUCAUCAUGAUCAGGUACAGGUAGAGUUCCAUUGAUAAAGGGAAGCUUGUUCUUAACACCCAAAGCACGCUGCAUUGAUCUACUCCAUGCAAGAUAAUUGGAUCCAUUGAACUUAGGAGACACAAUCACCGAAUUAGGUCCUUCACUAUGAUGAACAAAGAAAGCAGAAUCAGUAUCAUUGUUGCUGUUGUUGAUUCGAAGCACGAACCAUCAUUCCAAAUCAGAGGAAGAAGAUGAAGAUCUUCGUAAGAAAUAAAUGCAGAGAAGCAAUACGCAAAGCUUGCGAAGGAAGAAAGAGAAGAAUCUCAAUACAAAAUUGAGAACAAAACAAGAAGAAUCAUGAAGAGAAAGAGAAAGAAAACUGAUACCAUAUUAUAAAUGAUAGAAAUAAUAUGUAAUUGCUUGAUGAAUCAGAGAGUACAACAACUAUUUAUAGGUAGUUGAUGCUGUACAAUACAUAUGAUGGACUAGCAUCAGCAUAUUAAAGCUACUACUAAGGUAAGCUAAGUUGCUUGUGGUCUAAGCUAUCUAAACCACUCUUAUUAUGUAAUAUAAAUAAAUCCUGAAUUAUUAAAAAAAUAAAAAAUAAGGAGUCCAACAACAACUCUUACAACAUCAAUUUAUUAAAAAAAAAAAUUACAUAAUCGAAUGAUACUUUUUGCCUUUCACAAUAUUUCAUUUAAUCCUUUGGUUCCUCUUCCUCAUAGGAUUUCAGCACCAUAUCCAUAUCACCAUGUUUCUUAAAGAAGCGAGUGAGCAACUCCUUAUAUUCGUAAGACUUAUAAAUAGGUGGAUUGUGUUCAUCAAUGAGAUCUUUUGUUGGUUCAAUGAAACAAUCACCUGAUGGAGCUAUAAAAAAGGCAGCAGUUGUACGAGCUUGAUCUGAAUUUGUCACAGCUCUAUGUUCAGCACUUUUUAGCUUACCAUUAGUGAGUAUCUGUAUUCAAUAUUGUAACCCAUCACAAGUCAACAAAAUUUACAGACCUAAAUAAAUUUAAAAGAGACAUGAUUGAAAUGAAAAAAAAAAUGAAAGAUUUCCUUCAAGGGUUUGAUAGUGAUAUUUUGAAGUCAUUGGAGCCAAUCAUUGCUAUUGAAAUCUAUAUUGAAUCUAGAGGAUCAGAGGUGCAGAGGAUUGAGAAAUGAUAUUUUGUACAACCAUUUUCUAAUAACUUUUGUGACAACUUUCUCUAUCAUACUCAUAUUAUAAUUUUACUUUAUCUCUCUAUUGUUUUGGUUUUUGUGUCAAUACAUAAUUUUCUUUGUAAGAGUAUGGUUGUCUAUAUGGUUGUCAAUCAAAUUAAUGUUCAAAUAACAUUGCUCGAGAGGAUUAGAGGGGUCAAGAGGAUCUGAGUAGUCUAGACGAUCAAAGAGGUGCAGAGGAUCAACACCACAAUUGUUCACUAGAGAGGAUGUGAUGCUUAACUGGUAUAGUGUAUAGUUGUUAUGAUGUAUAAAGUGGCGGAGUCAGGAUCAUUACAAAAUCUGGGCAAAAAAUAUUUCAACACAGGUUUACAUAAGAAAUUGCAAGUAAAUAAUCAAAAAAUUUAAAGAAAUUGUCCAAUUUAUAGGGAUUUAUAAAAGAAAUUCAGAGAAAUUUACAUAAAAAAUUGCAAAAUAUUUGGGUCGGAGCCUGAGCAACGCCCAGGCUUUCCGGGCCUUAGAACCGCCCCUGGAUGUAUAUACUAUAGAUUAUAACAAGUUGAUAGAGAUUAGUUAGUUGAAAGUUAAUAACUAGUUGUCAUUAGUUAGUCAGCUAGAGAUUAACUCUUAGUUAGCAUAACCACCUCUAUAUAUACGGUUGCUACAUUAUACAUAUUCUAUCUCUACAAUCUUCUAUCAAAACAAUUUACAUAAUUUUCAUUCAUACUCUCUCAUUUUUCUUCGAAGUUGCAAUUCACCUCACAUUAGUGUGUAGUUCUUCAACCCAGCAUAAACCAUCAAAAUAAUAUCCUUAAAAUGAUAGUAAUUGAUGACAAAUGCAUCAAGUGUACCUGCAAGGCGCAGCCUAUGUUGAUGACAAAUGCAUGAGGAAUGGCAUCAACAGCUAUCCACUCUCCGUCCUUAAGUACUUGAAGGCCACAUAUAUCUUCUUGUUGUAAAACGGUUAUGAGGUAAGCAUCAAAGUGUUUGAUUACACCAAGUGUUAAACUUGGAUCAGGGCAUGGUGGAUAAUGAUUAAGUGAGAUAACCAAUGAGUCACUAAGAUUAUCAUUGUCGAAAUAUCCACACUCCAAACCAAGCCCUUCACUAAUUAAAUUCAUGAUCCUUGAACCCAACUCCUUAAUUUUAACUGAAUAAUUCCCAACACACUCUCUGCAAAAAAAAAAAAAAAAAAAGAUCUUUAACUACAUGUGCAAAUUAGAGGUGACAAGUGAUAGCCCGUAAAUAAGUUGGUUAUCACAUUCCAGUUAGCCCCUAUAAUAGAUAAGUAAUGGAAUGAUUGCAAUGUCUUAAACAUUUAAUCAAUGUCUAUUUUAGGAUUUUAUAGUUUUAAAUAUUUUUAGUACUUUGAAACUAGUAAUGCUUGUUUAUGAUGUUUGAUGAUGUAGGUUAAGGAAUGACUCUAAAGAUGUGGGAAGCUGCAGCGUGGAUUGAAGAUGUAUCACUGAAGAUGUGAAAAGUUGCAGCGUCCUAGGACUCUAGCUGGGUCGUACAUAGUACGAGUGCGUGAGUUCAGUCUCUCCUUGCUUAAUGAGGAAUAAUAUGAGUUGUCCUCAAUGAAUGAAAUCCUAGGAAAAAUAAAAGAAUAUGCCAAUAUUUGAUAAGGAGUGAUGAAUAAGGACAACCCAUGUACUAUAAAAGGACCCCAUGUGUUAGUGCCAAGGUCCGAAAAUUCAUCAUAGAAUUGGAGAUGCCAGGUUACGGCUAGGGUUAACAAAUUUAGAGAUAUUUUCAUUGAUAUUUUCUAAGUAAUAAUUAAUUGGGUUAAAUAAGUAAAUGGUCCCCUUAAAUAUACUAAUAUUUGAUUUUAGUUUCCUUAAAAUAUUCUUUAGGUUUUUUGUCCCUCCAAAUAUUUCAUCCAUGAAAUUAGUCCCUGUUCUCAAUGUAGAGCAUGGACUAAUUUCAUGGAUGAAAAUUUUUAAAGAAAUCAAAAAUCUAAGGAAUAUUUUGAAGGGACUAAAAUGAAAUGUUGGUAUAUUUAGAUGAUUAUUUACUUAUUUAACCCUAAUUAAUUUGAGACAAAAAUAUCAAAUGAGAUCUGUAUGUAGUUGGCAUACAUAUAUUCAUGCAUUUACCUGUAUGUAGUUGGAUAUUCAGGCCACAAGUGUCAUUUACAAGGGUCAAGAGAUAAGACAAUAUAUCAGUUACUCUUAGCCCUCAUUAUAAAGGUUGGAUCAUCUGCAAAUGUAGAGAGUUCUGCAUUGGAGGUAACAAUUAAUGUACAAAUUUUAUGUAUAGCCAUUAUAAUCUCUGGUAUGUUUUAAGAGUAGGUGUUGUUUAAAAAAAAAUGCAUGUUAUCAAGAAUAACAUUUCUGAUAUAUGUUAAUAACUAGAUGCGCAAAAUUUACUUUAACAUGACAUAUAUCGAGUCUUCAAGAGAAAAAUCAUUUUUGCAGCAGUAAAUUCUGAAUUGAGUCUAAUUUACUCUGAUAUAUUGUCUUAUCUCUUGACCCUUGUAACUGAUAUAUAUUUUCUUGUAGUAAUUUACCUGUAUGAGUCUAAGUUGGUUAUCAUGUUACACUUAGCCCCUAUAUAGACAAGUAAUCGAGUGAUUGCAAUUUCUUAAACAUCUAAUCACUGUCUAUUUUAAGAUUUUAUAGUUUUAAAUGUUUUUAUUACUUUGGAACUAGUAAUGCUUGUUUAUUAUGUUUGAUGAUGUAGGUUAAGGAAUGACUCUAAAGACGUGGGAAGCUGCAGCGUGGAUUGAAGAUGUAUCGCUGAAGAUGUGAAAGAUGUGAAAAGUUGCAGCGACCUAGGACUCUAGUUUGGUCGUACAUAAUACGAGUGAGUGAGUUCAGUCUCUCCUUGCUUAAUGAGGAAUAAUAUGCGUUGUCCUCAUUGAAUGGAAUCCUAGGAUGAAUAAAAGAAUAUGCCAAUGGGAAGGUAAGAUUGGAUAAGGAGGGAUGGAUAAGGACAACCCAUUUAAAAUGACCAAAAGGUACAACUUGUAGUGGGUGGCCUUGUACUAUAAACGGACCCCCGAGUGUUAAUGCCAAGGUCGGAAAAUUCAUCUUAGAAUUGGAGAGGCCAGGUUACGGCUAGGGUUAACAAAUUUAGAGAUCUCAUUCUAUCUCAUCUUCUCCAUAUACGUCUUUUUAACACCUUUUACGUAUGUGUUUUAAAAAUAGUUGAUAGUGUAAUUAAGGUGUAUAUGAUUAUUGAUAAAUUGAGUAAUGUUAUUUAAACAUAAAUUUUUUGACAACGUAUUCUGAUAUUAUAUAAAAUGCAUCAUUUAUAACUCUGGAUAUCACUUGUGUGAGAGAGAGUAAACGUAAACUAAUCAAUAGUUGAGUUUGUUGAUAGUAUUAAGGGUUAAAUAUAUUUUUAGUCAUUAUAAAUAUAUAAACAUUUUUUUUUUCUUUGACUUUUUUUUUUUUGAUAGAAAAUUUCUUUGACUUUUAAUCCCUCCUAAAGUUUUCAAUCACCAUUUUUUAUACUUAGUUCUAAGUCAACUCAUAUGUAACCUUCAUAUUUUUUAAUGAAAUAUUUUAGAAAUGAUUAGAAUAUUAUAAGAAUCUCUAAAAAAAAUAACAAUAUGAAUUUUUAAGCGCAAAAAAUAUUAAAAAAGUUAUUUUUAAUUCAUGUUUUGUUUAAAAAUUCUACAUUCUUUUAGAGAUUCUUAUAGUAUAGUAUUCUAAACAUUCAAAAAUAUUAUUUUAAAAUAAGAAGCUUAUUCAAGAGUUGACUUAAAAGUAAUGAUCAAAAGUAAUGAUGGGAAAUUCUUAGAGACUAAGAAUCGAAGAAAAUUUUUAAGUGGAUAAAAACAAAAAAUUGAUAUAUUUAUUAGGAUAAAAAACAUAUUUAAAUCUAGCAUUAAUAAGUUAAUAUUUGAAAAAUGAAAUAAGGUUGUAAAUAGUGAAAUUGUUAUGUCAACUAUUUAAUUAAGUAGCGGACUAGUUUAAUAGAUGUUCAUUUAUAUUUUCUAAAUAAUAAUUAAUUGGGUUAAAUAAGUAAAUGGUCCUCCUAAAUAUACAAAUAUUUGAUUUUAGUCCCCCUAAAAUAUUCUUUAGGCUUUUGGUCCCUUCAAAAUUUUUCAUCUAUGAAAUUAGUCCAUGUUCUCAAUGUAGAGCAGGGAUUAAUUUUAUGGAUGAAAAAUUUUAGAGGAACCAAAAACAUAAAAAAUAUUUUAGAGGAAUUAAAAUCAAAUGUUGAUAUAUUUAGGAGGAUUAUUUACGUAUUUAACCCUAAUUAAUUUGAGACAGAAAUAUCAAAUGAGAUCUGUAUGUAGUUGACAUACAUAUAUUCAUGCAUUUACCUGUAUGUAUUUGGAUAUUCAGGCCACAAGUGUUGCCACUCCUCCAAAGGAUAAGCUGGAUGUCGAAGAGAGUCCCUCCAUAGAUGAACCUUAUCACAUUCAUAUUUCAAGGUGCUAGAAAACAUCUUGCAUGUCUUCAAAAUCUCCUCAGGAUACAAGUCGUGCUUGUAUUCAUUAGGCUUCUCAAACACCUCCUUGAAAAUACUCAUUGUUUCCUUCAUUUCAUCCAACGAGAGACCAUGAUUGAUAACCUAUUUUAAUCAAAGAAAUUUUGGGACUUCUAUUAGACAUGUGUUGACAUGUGUUGCUAUAGUAUAAUGAGCACUAAAAUUACUAAUGAAAAAUAUGUAGGGGCGAAAGUUUGAAGAAAUAUUUUGUAAGAACUAAAAAAAAAACUUACUCCCUCAGUCCUAUAAUAAUCCAGCCAUUUGCAACAAAAAAAAAUUGUAUUUCAUUUUUCAAUACAAUAUUAAUUACUUUUUUCUCUUUAUAACUCUAGUUAAUACUACUUUCAUCACUCACAAUCUACGAAGCAUGGAUACGGACACCGGACACGACACGGACACCGCGUCGACACAUCUAAUUUUUUUUAGAAAAUCACAUAAUUCAGUGUAAUUAUAUGUGUCGGUGUCGGACACCACAUGUGUUUGACACGAGGAUACGCAUUAUUCGAGGAGUGUCCAUGCUUCAUAGCUUCAAAUUCAAUAUAUACCACUUUGCAUUUAUGAUAGUAGAGAAUACAUCAAUAUUUAACAAAAGCACUUAAAACUAUUUUUCUCUCUCAUUUAUUUAUGAGAAAUGCUAAAACGCACGAAAUUAUUUGUCGUCAUUUUUGUACGAAAAAGUGUAUACUUAUUAUUUAGUUCUUUAUCUUAAUUUUAAUUUGACACAAAGUGACAAACUUUGCCUCUUCUAGAUAUAUCUUAUGAUAAAUCACAAAAAUACCUCAUUGGUGGUGCUUCUCCAAGUUUACUGUUGUCAGUCCCUGCCUCACCAAUGUCAUGUAAACCGGUGGAUCAUGCAUGUNUAGUCCUCAGGCACAGAUUUGAUGCUUGACCGGUUUGAAAUAAAUUUCUCCAUAUCUCCUUGAAGUAGCUUGAUUAUGCUUUAUUAGUAUACAAUAUAGAGUGAUAGUAAUGGCUAAAACUGGGGAGAGGAUGUAUUUAU